AUUCUUCGGAAUCUUGAGAGCGGCGUACGGGUGCGGAACACGUGUGCAACCUGCCUUUAUCAAGGGGAUAGCCUUUCGAAAGGAAGAUUAAUACCCUAUAAUAUAUUGACUGGCAUCAGUUAAUAUUGAAAACUACGGUGGAUAAAGAUGGGCACGCGCAAGAUUAGCUAGUUGGUGAGGUAACGGCUCACCAAGGCGACGAUCUUUAGGGGGCCUGAGAGGGUGAUCCCCCACACUGGUACUGAGACACGGACCAGACUCCUACGGGAGGCAGCAGUGAGGAAUAUUGGACAAUGGGUGAAAGCCUGAUCCAGCCAUCCCGCGUGUAGGAAGACGGCCCUAUGGGUUGUAAACUACUUUUAUCUGGGGAUAAACCUACUUACGUGUAAGUAGCUGAAGGUACCAGAUGAAUAAGCACCGGCUAACUCCGUGCCAGCAGCCGCGGUAAUACGGNAGGGUGCAAGCGUUAUCCGGAUUUAUUGGGUUUAAAGGGUCCGUAGNGCGGACUGAUAAGUCAGUGGUGAAAUCCGACAGCUUAACUGUCGAACUGCCAUUGAUACUGUUAGUCUUGAGUAAGGUUGAAGUGGCUGGAAUAAGUAGUGUAGCGGUGAAAUGCAUAGAUAUUACUUAGAACACCAAUUGCGAAGGCAGGUCACUAAGUCUUAACUGACGCUGAUGGACGAAAGCGUGGGGAGCGAACAGGAUUAGAUACCCUGGUAGUCCACGCCGUAAACGAUGAUUACUCGUUUUU
RNAcentral lists this ribosomal RNA (751 nucleotides) under Elizabethkingia meningoseptica. RNAcentral describes it as "bacterial SSU rRNA". It matches the Rfam family "Bacterial small subunit ribosomal RNA", at positions 75 to 824 of the family's 1533-position model. Lineage: Bacteria; Pseudomonadati; Bacteroidota; Flavobacteriia; Flavobacteriales; Weeksellaceae. The record is from RNAcentral.